Molecule: ribosomal RNA, 253 nt
Filed under: uncultured bacterium
Lineage: Bacteria
Description: partial 16S ribosomal RNA
Rfam family: Bacterial small subunit ribosomal RNA
Source: RNAcentral
UACAGAGGUCCCGAGCGUUGUUCGGAUUCACUGGGCGUAAAGGGUGCGUAGGCGGUGAGGAAAGUCGGAUGUGAAAUCUCCGGGCUUAACCCGGAAAUGGCAUUGGAAACUACCUUGCUAGAGGUUUUGAGGGGGGACUGGAAUUCUCGGUGUAGCAGUGAAAUGCGUAGAUAUCGAGAGGAACACCGGUGGCGAAGGCGGGUCUCUGGGCCGAUAUUGACGCUGAGGAGCGAAAGCGUGGGGAGCGAACAGG